This 73-nucleotide transfer RNA is filed under the name Canis lupus familiaris (dog). It matches the Rfam family "tRNA". From Rfam's summary of the family: Transfer RNA (tRNA) molecules are approximately 80 nucleotides in length. Their secondary structure includes four short double-helical elements and three loops (D, anti-codon, and T loops). RNAcentral also lists the same sequence under 3 other names. Lineage: Eukaryota; Metazoa; Chordata; Mammalia; Carnivora; Canidae. The record is from Rfam by way of RNAcentral.
ACCUAGCUGGCUUAGUCAGAAAAGCAUGUGACUCUUGAUCUUGGGGUUGUAAGUUCAAGCCUCACAUUGGGUG